Molecule: ribosomal RNA, 1539 nt
Filed under: metagenome
Description: bacterial SSU rRNA
Rfam family: Bacterial small subunit ribosomal RNA
Source: RNAcentral
AGAGUUUGAUCCUGGCUCAGAACGAACGCUGGCGGCGUGGAUUAGGCAUGCAAGUCGAACGAGAAGCUAGGACUUCAAGUUUUCGGACGAGAAGUCUUAGUGGACAGUGGCGAAAGGGUGAGGAAUACGUGGGUAACCUGCCUCUAAGUUGGGGAUAGCUCCGCGAAAGUGGAAUUAAUACCGAAUGUGGUCUUCCUGCGCAUGCAGGAAUGUCUAAAGAUGGGGAUCCUUCGGGACCUGUCACUUGGAGAUGGACCCGCGUCCUAUCAGCUUGUUGGUGAGGUAACGGCUCACCAAGGCUUACGGGUAGCUGGUCUGAGAGGAUGGUCAGCCACACUGGGACUGAGACACUGCCCAGACUCCUACGGGAGGCUGCAGUCGAGGAUCAUUCGCAAUGCGCGAAAGCGUGACGAUGCGACGCCGCGUGCAGGAUGAAGGCCUUCGGGUUGUAAACUGCUGUCAUGAGGGAGCAAUAGUUCGGGUGCUAAUAACACUCGGAAUUGAUAGUACCUCAAGAGGAAGCCACGGCUAACUCUGUGCCAGCAGCCGCGGUAAUACAGAGGUGGCAAGCGUUGUUCGGAUUUACUGGGCGUAAAGGGUGCGUAGGCGGUCUUGCAUGUCGGAUGUGAAAUUCCACCGCUCAACGGUGGAACGGCAUUCGAAACUGCAAGGCUGGAGUACAGGAGAGGAGAGCGGAAUUCCUGGUGUAGCGGUGAAAUGCGUAGAUAUCAGGAGGAACACCGGUGGCGAAGGCGGCUCUCUGGACUGAUACUGACGCUGAGGCACGAAAGCUGGGGGAGCAAACAGGAUUAGAUACCCUGGUAGUCCCAGCCCUAAACGGUGUGCACUUGGUGUGGGGAGGAUUGUCCCUCUCCGCGCCGGAGCUAACGCGUUAAGUGCACCGCCUGGGGAGUACGGCCGCAAGGCUAAAACUCAAAGGAAUUGACGGGGGCCCGCACAAGCGGUGGAGCAUGUGGCUCAAUUCGAUGCAACGCGAAGAACCUUACCAAGGCUUGACAUGUAACUGCACGCCCUGCGAAAGCAGGGAAGCCUUCGAGGGUGUUACACAGGUGCUGCAUGGCUGUCGUCAGCUCGUGCCGUGAGGUGUUAGGUUAAGUCCUGCAACGAGCGCAACCCCUGUGAUUAGUUGCCACCUCCAAGGAAACGCGGAGAGCACUCUAAUCAGACUGCCUGUGAAAAGCAGGAGGAAGGUGGGGAUGACGUCAAGUCAGUAUGGUCCUUAUGCCUUGGGCUGCACACGUGCUACAAUGGUCGGUACAGAAGGAAGCAAAACCGCGAGGUGGAGCAAAUCCCCAAAGCCGACCCCAGUUCGGAUUGAAGUCUGCAACUCGACUUCAUGAAGCUGGAAUCGCUAGUAAUGGCGCAUCAGCUACGGCGCCGUGAAUACGUUCCCGGGCCUUGUACACACCGCCCGUCACAUCAUGGAAGCCGUCUGCACCCGAAGUCGCUGAUUCAACCCGCAAGGGAGAUAGGUGCCGAAGGUGUGGGUGGUGACUGGGAUGAAGUCGAAACAAGGUA